RNAcentral lists this ribosomal RNA (729 nucleotides) under Triticum aestivum (bread wheat). RNAcentral's name for it is "partial small subunit ribosomal RNA". The record is from RNAcentral. Lineage: Eukaryota; Viridiplantae; Streptophyta; Magnoliopsida; Poales; Poaceae.
AUGGCGGUGCAGCAGUGUACGGUGGCGCUCUUGGUGGCCGUCGCCCUCGUGGCGGGGCCAGCCGUCUCGUAUGCUGCCGAAGCUGGCUACGCCCCAGCCGGGCCACAGCCCAAGGCCACGACCGAGGAGCAGAAGCUAGCUGAGAAGGCCAACAACGCCUUCAAGGCGGCCGUGGCGGCCGCAGCCGCAGCCCCUCCAACGGACAAGGGCAAGAUAUUCCUGAACACCUUCGUGCAGAUCUUCGGCAACUGGUCUCUUGAGGGGGUCACCGACACGUCCAGCACCAAAGCCAUUUUCAACUCCAGGAAUCGACACACAAUCAUCACCUGCAUGCACAAAAUACCUACGUAUUCGAGGCCAGACAGAGUGCAAUAUAUACUAGUACCUCAAGGAUUGGAGCAUGGGAGCACCUUAAGGAUGGGAGUACUAGAUAUUUCCCCGAAGCAUGAGGUAACCUCGUCGGUGAGGGAAUUCUCGGCGAAGCACAAGAAGGUGGGUAGGAUGAGAAAUAGUCACACACACUUCUAUGCCAACGAGAAAGCCAAGAUCGUCGCUCUCACAACAGUCUCCUCUCAGGCCCCAGUCGCUCCUACCGACACAGAGUUUGCCCGCUCUGAUGUGUCCAACGAGGUGUUUUUCAGGACUCUGCCGUCGUGGUUUAUGUGGGACUUCGCCUACGCCAACGUGGCAAAAAACCCGUACGUGGUGUUUUGCCGGUCAUCGGAAUGA